Molecule: long non-coding RNA, 1721 nt
Filed under: Triticum aestivum (bread wheat)
Lineage: Eukaryota; Viridiplantae; Streptophyta; Magnoliopsida; Poales; Poaceae
Description: long non-coding RNA (TAES_LNC016629)
Source: RNAcentral
CUGCUUUGGUUUCUUGCUGUUUGCAUAUUCUCUUAAAAACACUUGACUGACUGCAGCUGACUGUUUAUACAUCAAUAAUAUGGGCAGUUGAAUAUGGCGUUUUCAAGUGAAGGAUUUCAAAAAUCUAAUAUGGCAUGCCUAUUUUUCAUGGAAAAACAAAUGGUACCUUAUUUACUAUUUAGUUUUUAAGCUAGACUAAUUUGACUACACGCGUCCUGAGGUGCCUUCUGUUUUGGAAUAGUCAUAGAAUGCUCCUUAUUACGAGAUGUUCCUUUGUCACUAUUGGAAAUUCUGCCUAGGGUGGCCUUUGUCUUAGUUUACAGCUUCAUAUGGCUACCUAUGUAUAACAUAUGUAUGUUCUGUUUGAACCAUCUCAAAUCACAUAGAGAUGUUAAAUUUUCAAUGUGUUGCCUCGCGGUCGUGUGCCAUCACCAUGUUUACUCCAGAAAAGUGGAAUGUGCAGAGUUUCUUGUUGAUUAGUCAAAUAUUUGCUUUGCCUUAAAGACUGUCCCCAUCUAUGUUCCAGGUUGUGGCAACGCUGCAGAUAUGCCCAUUGCCAUUGAGCAUUUCUAUCUAUAUGCUUAUACAGAGUAUUUGGUUUUUGUACUAUACGCUUGAUGAAAUAAUUUCCUUAUAAGCUGGGACAAGGCGUUUGUAGUUGAUAUUUGUACUAUAAGCUCAAUUUUUUUGGUUCAUCUCAUCUCUGGUUAUUUUUUCGUUUUUUGUGUUUCUGCAGCAUAUUAUCAUUAGCAUAUAAAACCUCUUAUCUUUCUUGUUUUCAACAAUUAUUCUUUGGCAGGGAAGACUAUGAUAACACUAAGAUUAUCAGGAAAGGAUUCAGGGCUUUUUUUGAAUCCAGAUUAUCACACAUGAUGCAAAAUUAACAACCAUGACUUUGAAAUAUGGAUGAUGAUGCUUAUUAUGUGCUAGAAAUCAAAUAUGUAAAGGAGAAGAUAAUGUUUGCGAAGGUGUGUAUACUGAACAAGCAUCCUAAUUGAUGUGUUUUCCUGUUGUUUCUUGAUGUGCCCUCAUGCAGCUGUGUCCAUAUAUACUGAUUGUUAUACUUAUUGUUGUGUGAGUUGCAGGAGAGGGGAGAGAGAUACGGGUUGAUUCUGGGUAAACUUUGCUUAAUUUGUUGGAGAAAAUGCUCGAUAGAUCUCAUGGAUGGAUGAGGUUGUGGCAGUAGUUCUCGGGUGCAAUAUCUAUCUUGAUAGAGUGAUCAACUAGGGCACAUUAGAAGCAGAAGAGGAAACGUUUGGGCCGUCUAUGGUGUUGAAGAUUCAGUGUUUCUGUCUUGUGUACAUGCACGGCCAGUUCAGUAACUAGAUGGCCUUUUCUACUGUACUGGCGCUGCUACUUUUCACAUGCUAGCUUCUUUGGAAAGCGCCAACAGUGUGUACAACAUGUAAAGAGUCCAUCUUGAAGGAACAGAAGCGGAAGUAUGGAGCUGAUGUAUUAAUGGUCAAUCAAGGAAUUCAGUCUCGAUGAGCUUAACUAAUGAUGUGUGAGUUGAGCCUUAGGUCAUUUUCAAAGUAACGGAAGUACAAGAGAUUACUUGAAAAUAAACAUUUUUUCAAUGCGACAUGGUCUUAAGUGCGAUUUUAUACCACCAAAUUAAAAUAUCAUUGUAGACAACAGGCCUAUAUUUUUAUUUUAUUUUAUUAAAGGGUUAAACUUGUUAUCGUAUGUGUUUGCCCACAACUAAAUCAAAACAUGAUUUU